This is a non-coding RNA of Arachis ipaensis, 187 nucleotides long. The record is from RefSeq and is a predicted model, not a curated record. NCBI's taxonomy places the organism in Eukaryota, Viridiplantae, Streptophyta, Magnoliopsida, Fabales, Fabaceae.
CGAAAGCUAGUGCACUCUAGACAAAGUAGGGAGUACAGCACUCUUUAAAAGUUAACCUGCUAUCAAAAGUAAUUAACAGGUGCUUCCACUAUUGUUCUGUCUAGCCACAGAUUUUGACGCUCUUGAACCCACCCCAUUCCACAUCUACCAUAAAUGGACCUUCAAAGCCUGAAAAAUUGCUGCCAUA